This 71-nucleotide transfer RNA is filed under the name Candidatus Jorgensenbacteria bacterium. RNAcentral describes it as "tRNA-Gln". It matches the Rfam family "tRNA". From Rfam's summary of the family: Transfer RNA (tRNA) molecules are approximately 80 nucleotides in length. Their secondary structure includes four short double-helical elements and three loops (D, anti-codon, and T loops). Further hydrogen bonds mediate the characteristic L-shaped molecular structure. tRNAs have two regions of fundamental functional importance: the anti-codon, which is responsible for specific mRNA codon recognition, and the 3' end, to which the tRNAs corresponding amino acid is attached (by aminoacyl-tRNA synthetases). tRNAs cope with the degeneracy of the genetic code in two manners: having more than one tRNA (with a specific anti-codon) for a particular amino acid; and 'wobble' base-pairing, i.e. permitting non-standard base-pairing at the 3rd anti-codon position. Lineage: Bacteria; Candidatus Joergenseniibacteriota. RNAcentral also lists the same sequence under 1 other name. The record is from RNAcentral.
UGCCGGGUCGUCUAAUGGUAGGACAUCGCCCUUUGGAGGCGGUAAUGAGGGUUCGAUUCCUUCCCCGGCAG